RNAcentral lists this non-coding RNA (265 nucleotides) under Rattus norvegicus (Norway rat). Lineage: Eukaryota; Metazoa; Chordata; Mammalia; Rodentia; Muridae. The record is from RNAcentral.
AUGCAUGAAGGCCGCUGGCUUUUGCAGUCAUUUAGCAAUAAAUAGUGACUUUAAAACUAGUCAUUUGUAUUCAUCCUAGGUUUAAAAUAUAAAGUGCAUUUAUGAGGCUUCAUAGCCAUCUUCUCAUCUUUGAUGUGAUUUCCAGUCAGUACAGUGACAUUUUUAGUUCCUGGUCAAGGGACCUUCCUGGGUCUUCUUCCUUGUGUUCCAUAGUCCUAUCUAUCUGGAAGAGUUCCAGGAUGAUGUAAAGUUGGUUUGUGUGGUC